CUCUGUCUACAAAAUACCUGGGAGGAAUCAACUCAAAGGGAGAGAGUUAUUUUUCUUGUGGUUUCAGAGAUUUCAGCUUGUGGCCUGCUUGCUUUAGGGCCAGGAAGGACGGCGGGGGAGCGGGGGGAGGGGGGUUGGGGGGAGAGAGAGGGAAGGGUAUGGGAAGGAAGAGGGAGGAGACAGGAAAGGACACGCCCACUUCCAGGUGUGGCUUAGCUUGCUACUGGGGCACUGUCGCCCACCAAUGCUGUCCAGGCAGGCCUUCCCUUGCAGUGUGCGGACCUGGAAACAGCUUGCUUGCUCUUUUGGGUGCCCUGAAGGGCUCCCUUUGUUCAUGCUUAACACUCUACUGGGCAAACAAACCACAUCCCGUUAGCAGCGGGUCCCCAAGCCUCUGUUCUGGCAGGUCCCUUGUCCCUUUGCCAGGCCCAGAGUCCGGGCCAAAGUUCCUAGAACUUGGGAAUUCCUAAUAAUUAACCCGGGAUCCCCGGGGGUUGAGUGGAAUGAGACGCUCGAACAGGGAAGCUGCCGUUUCCAGACCCCAAAGUGUUCACUGCGACCUGCUCUGAACACCUCCCGGGCCAGCCUCCACCCCGCCCCUUCCGCGUCCAGCUCUGACUAUUCCUUGCCAGUGUGCUCUCCACUAGCAGAGCUCCUUGGGUGUAUCCCGGGGACAAUCAAGAAGCCCUCUGUUGACCCAGAGGACACAGGGAGGAGGACUCUGCUGCUGUGGCUUUCCCUGUCUGGCCAGUGCCCCUCCUCGCUCCUCGUUCACUGAGCCAGCCCUGAGUGAUGCAGAGCUAAGCCGCUUAGCAGCUGAGAACCUUCCCAGAGCGGCUCCUUCUGAGGCGCCUUGUAAAUUAAAGCUUGAAGCAGGAAGCAAACCCCUCAAGUGCGAUUUAGUCUAAGUGUUCUCAUUCAUUUUAAUUCUAAAAAUGCAACAUCAUAAAACGGCACACCUGGCCUGUUCACAAGCUAAUGACGGCGCUUACCGCCUAGAUGAAUUCGGGGGCUGGAACAGUAAUGAAAUUAGCAGCAUUCACUGAACGAACGUGGCCUCCUCAACACCUUCCAGUUAGGUGGCUGUUACCCCUCAAUGAGGCAAGUGCCAUAGUCUGUCCUGACUGACUUCCAGGUAGCAGAAUAGAGACAGGGUUGGUAAUUUGGCCAAAGUCACACAGCUAGAAAGGUGUGUGUCUGUGUGUGCGUGUGUGUGUGUCUGUGUGUGUGUGUCACUGGGCUGGUGAGAUGGCUCAGUGGGUAAAGGUGCUUGCCGCCAAACCUGCGGGUCUGAGUUUGAUCCCCAUAGGAGAGAGCUGACUAAAGUUGUUCCCUGAACACAUACACACUGAAAUGAAACAUUUUUUUUUUCCAAAGAAAGGAGGCAGCUGCAAUGUGGGGGUCUUGGUAGUGGGGUACGGUUCACUGAGGUGGGCCAAAAGACCUCUCCCCCAGCCCCUCUUGGGAUGCUUGCUGCUUCCUGGGUGGGUGCCAAAGUCAGAUCUGAAGUCCUCUGUGGCCUCACUGGCAUAGAGAGCGGACCCUGGGUAUCCAUGAGAGGAAGAAGCUAGAGCUAGGUGGACUGGGGACAUGCAGGGGACAUGCCUGUACUCGACUGUGGAAAUUCUCAGGUUUGCAUGAGAUUUGAAGGAAACUUGGGAACCUGAGUGCUGUGGCUCGUGGCUGACUUCCAGCUCCCUGAGGCUGAUGCAGGAAUGUCACCACGAGGUUAUCAAGAUCAUUAAGGCUAGCCUGGGCUAGCUCCAGGUCAACCUGGUCUAACUAUCGAGGCCUGAUCUCUGGAGCAGAACCAUGUGCCAGGCGGUGCGGAUGUGCAGUUCACUGAGGUGGGCUAAGAGACCGCUCCCCUCCCCUCCCCCCGGGUUAAUUAUUAGGAACAUGGAUGCUUAUGGAAGCUGACAGUCUCUGUCUCUUGUUUGACUUGUUUUCUUGGUGAGUGACUCUGGUUCUGACCUCUGCCCCACAUAGGCCAUCCCUCACCGGGUGGUUCAACCUCCCAGGGAGUCUGCUUUACAUCUCCUUUAGUUGUACCUGGUUUUUAUCUUUUGUAAGAGAAAACCUCAUGUAGCCCAGGCUGGCCUCAGGGAGAAUGACCUUGAAGUCUUGUCUUGUCUUUUUUUUUUUCUUAUGUAUAGGAGUACACUGUAGCUGUACAGAUGGUUGUGAGCCUUCACGUGGUUGUGAGCCUUCACAUGGUUGUUGGGAAUUGAAUUUUUUUUAGGACCUCCUCUCACUCCGGUUAGCUCCCACCCAAAGAUUUAUUUAUUAUUAUACAUAAGUACAUUGUAGCUGUCUUCAGAAGAGGGCAUCAGAUCUCCAUGUGUGUGAGCCACCAUGUGGUUGCUGGGAUUUGAACUCAGGACCUUGAGAAGAGCAGUCAGUGCUCUUACUGGCUGAGCCAUCUUGCCAGUCCAGCCUUGAAGUCUAAUCCUCCUGCCACCACCUCCCCAUGUUUGGAUCUGCCUAGUGCUCACUGGUUUGCCUCCAUCCAAUUUGGUUUGCCUCUCAACAGAAGGAGCGCUGAGACUGCGGAACGGCCUUCUAGCCUCCCCUUCCCUUCCUCUGCCCCUCGCAACACCUACCAGCCCUCCGUUUCUAGAAUGUCACCAUUUCAUACUGUUCUAUAAAUGGAGUCUGCAGCCUGGCGCAGCCUGGCGUCUGCUGGGACGAGCUUUUUGUCUCGGUGGAUCUCCCUGGAGAGUCUCCCAAGCUGCUGUGAGAGUCCAGUCUGUCUGGACGUUUGUAGGUAGACUCAGGGAGAGUGGCUGGGAGCAGACCAGACGCAAUCAGGUUGGGGAAUCUGAGGGUGGAAUGUGGGGCAAGCAGCAGCCCCACCCUCCCAGCCCCCAAGUCAUGUGGUCAUGGAGAGGGUGGACGACAUCACUCUAAAGUGCUGGGACGGAGCAUAACUGGUAAGACCGUUCACAGGACACCAGAGAGAUUGGGGCCAGAGUUUGGGUCCAGGUAGAAGGAAGGAAGGGAAUCGGGGACCUUGUGUGUGCCAGGCUCGCCCUCUGUACCAGGUACGGCAGAAAGGAAAGGAUCUAAAGACACGCUUGUGUCUCAGUCUAUCAAGCUACUGAAACGACGGGCACUAGAGAUAUGGGACUUCCCCCAGGAAUGGCAUGCGGAGAGAAGGAAAAGGCACCAGCUCAAGGAGGGGACUUAACGUCGUUGGAAAGAGAUUUCGCCCAGUUCUCCGGAACUGAAGCACAGACACAGAAGGCUCAGUGGUGGGCGGGACCACACCUUGGCCCGGGCUAAAUAGCUGUGCAAGUCCCUGGCUUCUAUUAAACUUUGAUUUCUCCUUAGG
Long non-coding RNA from Mus musculus (house mouse), 3334 nucleotides. RefSeq annotates it as predicted gene, 33185. NCBI's taxonomy places the organism in Eukaryota, Metazoa, Chordata, Mammalia, Rodentia, Muridae. The transcript is spliced from 2 exons. The record is from RefSeq and is a predicted model, not a curated record.